RNAcentral lists this ribosomal RNA (468 nucleotides) under uncultured bacterium. Its description in RNAcentral is "partial 16S ribosomal RNA". It matches the Rfam family "Bacterial small subunit ribosomal RNA", at positions 28 to 507 of the family's 1533-position model. The record is from RNAcentral.
GACGAACGCUGGCGGCGUGCUUAACACAUGCAAGUCGAACGGAAAGGCCCUGCUUUUGUGGGGUGCUCAAGUGGCGAACGGGUGAGUAACACGUGAGUAACCUGCCCUUGACUUUGGGAUAACUUCAGGAAACUGGGGCUAAUACCGGAUAGGAGCUCCUGCUGCAUGGUGGGGGUUGGAAAAUUUCGGCGGUUGGGGAUGGACUCGCGGCUUAUCAGCUUGUUGGUGGGGUAGUGGCUUACCAAGGCUUUGACGGGUAGCCGGCCUGAGAGGGUGACCGGCCACAUUGGGACUGAGAUACGGCCCAGACUCCUACGGGAGGCAGCAGUGGGGAAUAUUGCACAAUGGGCGGAAGCCUGAUGCAGCAACGCCGCGUGCGGGAUGACGGCCUUCGGGUUGUAAACCGCUUUCGCCUGUGACGAAGCGUGAGUGACGGUAAUGGGUAAAGAAGCACCGGCUAACUACGUG